Small nuclear RNA from Mastomys coucha (southern multimammate mouse), 112 nucleotides. The record is from RefSeq and is a predicted model, not a curated record. Lineage: Eukaryota; Metazoa; Chordata; Mammalia; Rodentia; Muridae.
GUGCUUGCUUCGGCAGCACAGAUACUGAAAUCGCAAUGAUACAGAGAAGAUUAGCAUGGCCCUGUGCUUACACACAAAUGACAGGCAAAUUCCUGAAGUGUUCCAUAUUUAA